UGGGGAAUCUUCCGCAAUGGACGAAAGUCUGACGGAGCAACGCCGCGUGAGUGAAGACGGCCUUCGGGUUGUAAAGCUCUGUGAUUCGGGACGAAAGGCCAUAUGUGAAUAAUAUAUGGAAAUGACGGUACCGAAAAAGCAAGCCACGGCUAACUACGUGCCAGCAGCCGCGGUAAUACGUAGGUGGCAAGCGUUGUCCGGAAUUAUUGGGCGUAAAGCGCGCGCAGGCGGUCACUUAAGUCCAUCUUAGAAGUGCGGGGCUUAACCCCGUGAUGGGAUGGAAACUGGGAGACUGGAGUAUCGGAGAGGAAAGUGGAAUUCCUAGUGUAGCGAUGAAAUGCGUAGAUAUUAGGAAGAACACCGGUGGCGAAGGCGACUUUCUGGACGAAAACUGACGCUGAGGCGCGAAAGCGUGGGGAGCAAACAGG
This 428-nucleotide ribosomal RNA is filed under the name Verrucomicrobiota bacterium. Its description in RNAcentral is "Verrucomicrobia bacterium partial 16S ribosomal RNA". It matches the Rfam family "Bacterial small subunit ribosomal RNA", at positions 355 to 776 of the family's 1533-position model. The record is from RNAcentral. Lineage: Bacteria; Pseudomonadati; Verrucomicrobiota.